UACAGAGGGUGCGAGCGUUAAUCGGAAUUACUGGGCGUAAAGCGCGCGUAGGCGGCUUUUCAAGUCGAUUGUGAAAUCCCCGGGCUUAACCUGGGAACUGCAGUCGAGACUGUCUAGCUAGAGUAUGGGAGAGGGAAGUGGAAUUUCAGGUGUAGCGGUGAAAUGCGUAGAUAUCUGGAGGAAUACCGGUGGCGAAGGCGGCAUCCUGGACCGGCAUUGACGCUGAUGAGCGAAAGCUAGGGGAGCAAACGGG
RNAcentral lists this ribosomal RNA (253 nucleotides) under uncultured bacterium. RNAcentral describes it as "partial 16S ribosomal RNA". It matches the Rfam family "Bacterial small subunit ribosomal RNA", at positions 524 to 776 of the family's 1533-position model. The record is from RNAcentral.